AGUGAACGCUGGCGGCGUGCCUAAUACAUGCAAGUCGAACGGAGUGGCGCACGGGUGAGUACUAUCUAGCUAAUCUGCCCCUUGCUGGAGGACAACAGUUAGAAAUGACUGCUAAUACUCCAUAGCAAGGGAUGAGACUAUAUCGGAUCAGCUAGUCGGUGGGGUAACGGCCUACCGAGGCUAUGACGCGUAACUGGUCUGAGAGGAUGAUCAGUAACAUUGGAACGGAGACACGGUUGAAACACCUACGAGAGGGAGCAGUAGGGAAUAGUUGGCAAUGGGGGAAUCCCUGACGCAGCAACGCCGCGUGGAGGAUGACACUUUUCGGAGCGUAAACUCCUUUUGUUAGGGAAGCGGUACCUAACGAAUAAGCACCGGCUAACUCCGUGCCAGCAGCCGCGGUAAUUC
RNAcentral lists this ribosomal RNA (408 nucleotides) under uncultured bacterium. RNAcentral's name for it is "partial 16S ribosomal RNA". It matches the Rfam family "Bacterial small subunit ribosomal RNA", at positions 29 to 526 of the family's 1533-position model. The record is from RNAcentral.